Molecule: ribosomal RNA, 795 nt
Filed under: Bacillus amyloliquefaciens
Lineage: Bacteria; Bacillati; Bacillota; Bacilli; Caryophanales; Bacillaceae
Description: bacterial SSU rRNA
Rfam family: Bacterial small subunit ribosomal RNA
Source: RNAcentral
GUCCUGCGUUUUGUUAGGGAAGAACAAGUGCCGUUCAAAUAGGGCGGCACCUUGACGGUACCUAACCAGAAAGCCACGGCUAACUACGUGCCAGCAGCCGCGGUAAUACGUAGGUGGCAAGCGUUGUCCGGAAUUAUUGGGCGUAAAGGGCUCGCAGGCGGUUUCUUAAGUCUGAUGUGAAAGCCCCCGGCUCAACCGGGGAGGGUCAUUGGAAACUGGGGAACUUGAGUGCAGAAGAGGAGAGUGGAAUUCCACGUGUAGCGGUGAAAUGCGUAGAGAUGUGGAGGAACACCAGUGGCGAAGGCGACUCUCUGGUCUGUAACUGACGCUGAGGAGCGAAAGCGUGGGGAGCGAACAGGAUUAGAUACCCUGGUAGUCCACGCCGUAAACGAUGAGUGCUAAGUGUUAGGGGGUUUCCGCCCCUUAGUGCUGCAGCUAACGCAUUAAGCACUCCGCCUGGGGAGUACGGUCGCAAGACUGAAACUCAAAGGAAUUGACGGGGGCCCGCACAAGCGGUGGAGCAUGUGGUUUAAUUCGAAGCAACGCGAAGAACCUUACCAGGUCUUGACAUCCUCUGACAAUCCUAGAGAUAGGACGUCCCCUUCGGGGGCAGAGUGACAGGUGGUGCAUGGUUGUCGUCAGCUCGUGUCGUGAGAUGUUGGGUUAAGUCCCGCAACGAGCGCAACCCUUGAUCUUAGUUGCCAGCAUUCAGUUGGGCACUCUAAGGUGACUGCCGGUGACAAACCGGAGGAAGGUGGGGAUGACGUCAAAUCAUCAUGCCCCUUAUGACCUGGG